GCUGGGGUAGCUCAGUCGGUCAGCAUGAGACUCUUAAUCUCAGGGUCAUGGGUUUGAUACUCAUGUUGAGCA
Podarcis lilfordi (Lilford's wall lizard) is the source of this 72-nucleotide non-coding RNA. Lineage: Eukaryota; Metazoa; Chordata; Lepidosauria; Squamata; Lacertidae. The record is from the annotation of a GenBank genome assembly.